This 301-nucleotide ribosomal RNA is filed under the name uncultured bacterium. Its description in RNAcentral is "partial 16S ribosomal RNA". It matches the Rfam family "Bacterial small subunit ribosomal RNA", at positions 509 to 807 of the family's 1533-position model. The record is from RNAcentral.
CAGUCGCCGCGGUAAUACGUAGGGUGUGAGCGUUAAUCGGAAUUACUGGGCGUAAAGCGGGCGCAGGCGGUUACUUAAGCAGGAUGUGAAAUCCCCGGGCUCAACCUGGGAAUUGCGUUCUGAACUGGGUGGCUAGAGUGUGUCAGAGGGGGGUAAAAUUCCACGUGUAGCAGUGAAAUGCGUAGAGAUGUGGAGGAAUACCGAUGGCGAAGGCAGCCCCCUGGGAUAGCACUGACGUUCAUGCCCGAAAGCGUGGGUAGCAAACAGGAUUAGAUACCCCCGUAGUCCCUGUCUCUUAUAC